AGCGAACGCUGGCGGCAGGCCUAACACAUGCAAGUCGAACGAACCUUUCGGGGUUAGUGGCGGACGGGUGAGUAACACGUGGGAACGUGCCUUUAGGUUCGGAAUAACUCAGGGAAACUUGUGCUAAUACCGAAUGUGCCCUUCGGGGGAAAGAUUUAUCGCCUUUAGAGCGGCCCGCGUCUGAUUAGCUAGUUGGUUGAGGUAAUGGCUCACCAAGGCGACGAUCAGUAGCUGGUCUGAGAGGAUGAUCAGCCACAUUGGGACUGAGACACGGCCCAAACUCCUACGGGAGGCAGCAGUGGGGAAUCUUGCGCAAUGGGCGAAAGCCUGACGAAGCCAUGCCGCGUGAAUGAUGAAGGUCUUAGGAUUGUAAAAUUCUUUCACCGGGGACGAUAAUGACGGUACCCGGAGAAGAAGCCCCGGCUAACUUCGUG
Molecule: ribosomal RNA, 434 nt
Filed under: uncultured bacterium
Lineage: Bacteria
Description: partial 16S ribosomal RNA
Rfam family: Bacterial small subunit ribosomal RNA
Source: RNAcentral